This is a long non-coding RNA of Rhinichthys klamathensis goyatoka, 246 nucleotides long. RefSeq lists it as uncharacterized. The record is from RefSeq and is a predicted model, not a curated record. The transcript has 3 exons. NCBI's taxonomy places the organism in Eukaryota, Metazoa, Chordata, Actinopteri, Cypriniformes, Leuciscidae.
UCCCUGUAAACAGUGCCAGGACGUGUAUAAAAUAAGUCAAACUUCCUGCUUACCCACAGCAGGUGCAAGAGCAGCUUAGAAGAACUAAGAAGGACUCCUACAUGCUGGUUUUAUCCCCGACUUCAUCAUGAGAUUAUUUCUGGUUUCACAGCUUCUGCUGGUGUUCGUAUCAGUCCUGGCACUGACUAGGGCACAAACAACAACUCAAACAUCAACUGACACAGCAACAACUGAAACAACAACAAC